AAAGAAACCAACAGGGAUUGCCUUAGUAGCGGCGAGUGAAGCGGCAAAAGCUCAAAUUUGAAAUCUGGCACUUUCAGUGUCCGAGUUGUAAUUUGAAGAAGGUAUCUUUGGGUCUGGCUCUUGUCUAUGUUUCUUGGAACAGAACGUCACAGAGGGUGAGAAUCCCGUGCGAUGAGAUGUCCCAGACCUAUGUAAAGUUCCUUCGAAGAGUCGAGUUGUUUGGGAAUGCAGCUCUAAGUGGGUGGUAAAUUCCAUCUAAAGCUAAAUAUUGGCGAGAGACCGAUAGCGAACAAGUACAGUGAUGGAAAGAUGAAAAGAACUUUGAAAAGAGAGUGAAAAAGUACGUGAAAUUGUUGAAAGGGAAGGGCUUGAGAUCAGACUUGGUAUUUUGUAUGUUACUCUCUCGGGGGUGGCCUCUACAGUUUACCGGGCCAGCAUCAGUUUGAGCGGUAGGAUAAGUGCAAAGAAAUGUGGCACUGCUUCGGUAGUGUGUUAUAGUCUUUGUCGAUACUGCCAGCUUAGACUGAGGACUGCGGCUUCGGCCUAGGAUGUUGGCAUAAUGAUCUUAAGUCGCCCGCU
RNAcentral lists this ribosomal RNA (579 nucleotides) under Lodderomyces parapsilosis. RNAcentral's name for it is "Candida parapsilosis partial large subunit ribosomal RNA". It matches the Rfam family "Eukaryotic large subunit ribosomal RNA", at positions 58 to 653 of the family's 3401-position model. Lineage: Eukaryota; Fungi; Ascomycota; Pichiomycetes; Serinales; Debaryomycetaceae. The record is from RNAcentral.